This 4274-nucleotide long non-coding RNA is filed under the name Sparus aurata (gilthead seabream). Its description in RNAcentral is "lncRNA (ENSSAUG00010020979.1)". The record is from RNAcentral. Lineage: Eukaryota; Metazoa; Chordata; Actinopteri; Spariformes; Sparidae.
ACUUUUAUAACUUUCUGCAGGCUUUAGUAGAGGGAUGAUCAGUGGAGCAGCACACACACACACACACACACACACACACUCGUAGACACACACUCCACAGCAGCCCAAAGAGGCAUACAGAGCCCUUCUCCUUAAAUGGUCAAAGCUCCCAGGAGUGAAAGAGAGGCUGCUGCUGAAAAAAGACAGGGAACAGAGGGGACGGGAGAAGGAAGGAGAAGCCCCGAGGAUAGAGGAGUUUUUCUGAGGGAAAAGGCUGUGGGUGACAGUUUGACUGUGGGAAGUCGGGCCGGGAGUUGGAGAGAUCAGCCUGUGUGUGUGUUUCUCUACGGCGCUAGUGGCGGACUCAGCUCCAGGACAAGGAGGAGCUCUUGCAGCAGGGGUCUCCUCCUGAACACAGUGAUCGUAUCACCGAGGAGUCCUGCGACGCCCCCUGCGCUGCUGAAAGUCUUUUUAUUUUCCCACACACCCGCUCGCGCCCCUCGCUGCCCCCCACCAUGCCAACGCUGCCGGAAGAAGAAGAGGACUCCCCCGAGGAUCUGGACAGUUCCUCCAGCUCCCCCAGUACAGUGAGUGCAACUCUUUGCUAAACCAUCUGAGGUUGUAAAAGCUGACACCGUGUAAUUGAUUUGGAUCUGGUGAGGAAGUUCAUCGGUGCUGCGCUCAUACAGAGCCUUCAAAGCACUUUCAGUUUAGCAGGAGAAGCAUUUGGAUCACUUUAAGAGACCAUAUUGGGAUUUGGUUUGAUAUAUAUUUCACUUUUUUUGGAUCUGCACUUGUAUUUUUGUGGUUUCCUACAAAAUGUUUACACGUUAAUCUGUAAUUCCACUGAAUGUUGAAUGUUUUAUGAGUGUUUGAAGGUCACUUUGUCUUUCUACCACAGUAAAUCAUCCACAGCAGAGCCACUGCUGAGGUUGAACUGACUGAUAUCAGUUCAGGUUGGAGACUUGGAGCCCCUUGAGAACAGUUUGUAAUUUGUGGCUUUGAGCUGCAUAAAUAAAAACUGACUUGAGUUCAAGAAUUAAGAACAAAAUAUCUUUAAUGCUUUAUUCUUUUUAUAUUAGAACCAGACUUCUAAUAGGAUCUGAGAACCUGGGAGCAAGUCCUCCUUUGUUCAGAUUUAAAGGGUCAUUUCACCCAAAUUGCAUCUGAAAAAAAUCUCUUUUAUCACGUGUGAUGUCUGUCAAAGCUUUUUAAGCUAUUAAAAGGUCCCCUGUUAUGUUUUUUUCAGGUUCAUGUUUUUUAUUUGAAUGUGUACCAGAAAUUGUUUACACUCAUAACGUUAAACAAACACAUUAUUUUUCUCACACUGUCCAUUGCUGCAGCUCCUCUAUCAAGCAAAUCGUGCCGUGACCACUUUGGACCCCCAAAGUCCAGUUUGUUUGUCUAGUGUGAGCGGUCUGUACUGUGCUCAAGCAUGGUACACUUUCUUGGUCCUGCCAUGGUUUGAAGAGGUGUGCUUUGGAAGAGUACGGUUGCUCAUGCAUGAGCACAAGAAUGGGUUUACAAAAUGGACAUGAAGUAAAAUCAUGUGUAUUAUGCCAUCUUGCAUAAUGAAGAAUCCAGAAAUGUGAGAGGACGUCUAUGAUCAAAACAACAUAAAAUAAGCCACAAAAAAGUCAGUAAAGUCAAGCUCUCAGUGUUAUCCUCCAAUGUUCUGAGGCUAUGAGGUGAUGACAUAUGUACAAGAAGUAACCGCGAAUAUGAGUCCAGGCCAGCAGGGGAGGAGGGAUUAUCAUGUUUGAUCACAGUACAGAGCAACUGGGCAAAGUGGAAGUGUGCCCUAAGUGCCUGUCUCUUUAAGGUCCCCUUGCUGAAAAGCCCAGUCUGCUCUGAUUGGCCAGCUCUCACAGGCCUGAAUAGGCAACGCCCACCCUAUUUCCACAUCAGCUCUGCCGGUGUGUUUGUAACCAUACCUGUGGCUGAGGGUGGUGACUGUACAGUUGUGAACAACUUCAUAAAAGGCCCGUUUGAAGGCGUGGUUUCUGAAAAAUUGGCUUUGUGCAUUUCUCCAUGUACUGAGUGUUUUUGUACUUUCACAGUAUUUAUUGUAAACAGCUCCAAGAUCUGCUUUAUGAUACAAAAAUAAAAAUUAAAAAAAAGACAGGAAAUCUCACUUUCUACAUCAAAGGACUUAAAACUAUCUGCAAGCUUUUGGAGGUAUCCACGUCUGCAACUCGUGUAAUCACCUCACUCUUUUGAGAAAACACUAUCCCAGUUAUUACAUUAGAACUCACAAACCUCACUGCCAAAUAGUUUGAGACAGUAUAUUCUCUUGAAAUUGGUUCCAGGGAAAACUUGUGAAUGAAAUUGAAUUUCUAAAAUGUAAUUUUUAGAUACUUUCAGCACCUAUAUCACCAAAUCUAUCCAUUGCUAUUGUGCUGGGGAGGCAGCAGCAUUUAAGAGAUUAAUAUCUCAAAACCAAAACCAUUUGCUUGACACCAGUAGGCUUAAAUGGAAAUGUAAUCCUUUUAUCAUUUGUGUGAUCCGACCCUUUAAAUCGUAACAUCCUCACGUUUGGAAAUAUUUUUUGCAGCAUAUUAAAAUUAUAUGAAGAAUAUAAACCAAACAUGCUGCGGACAGUGAAGUGUUAAACCCUCUGCGUCCUCAGAGAACAUCAUCUUCCGCUGCAGGCUCUCAUUAACUCACAGACUAGAUAAGACUCCUCUGCAGAAUGUAAUGAAGCUGUAAUCUAAUCAUCAGAGCAUAUGCCAACACUAUAAAAAUAUCCACCUUUAUUACAGCACAGACGUGGCCUCUCUGCAGCAUCACUAUCAGAGGGAAACUUUUUAAAGGGAGUCUAAUGAAAAGAUAAUCUCUGAGAAGAGCUCUCAGGGAUCUAGUGUUUGAUUUCAGUCUGUUUAAUGUGCAUUCUUACCUUUGAUGGCUGGUUUUAGGAUUUUAGGAAACAGGAAUUUUUGGUUACUUAAGUUCAGUUUACUUGUCACUGAAGGUACAGCUUAGCCUGCGGAAAUAGUUGAAUAAUGCAUUCUUUGGCUCUGGACAAACAGCCUGCUUUUCAAACUGUAGGUGUGAGGACUUAAAGAAGACGAAUGCAGGACGCUAUUGCAUCAUAGCAAUUUGUUCAGCUUGACCUAGUCGUGAGACUAGAAAAAUGAGGUGUGUCAGCCCCUGAUUCUGUGAUGCUGACCUGUUUUUGUUUUUUUUAAAUCUAUGGUUUGUGAUCAUUGAACUUCAUGCAAAACAGAAUUAUAGGGACAUUUAUCAUACUCUAUUUAUUUGCUCUUGCAAAUUUUCUCUUGGGGAUCUAGUUCUCACAAAUGACACCAACCAAUGACAAGUCACAAACUUAACAUUGUAGAGCACAAAGUUGCUGCUGAAAACAAUUUCAAAAUGGACUCUGAACUCAGUUCCCCAGAAUUCCCCAGUCUUCACGCCGAGGUGCAAAGACUGCCAAGUGACCCAGCUUUGAGCUGUUAUUGGUCAGGGUGACAGACUGUACUCAAACUGUACUCUGCAGUGAAGGCUGGAUUUAAGUGUGUAACUGCUCCAAAGCCAAUAACCUUUACAGUGUCUCAAAUAUAAAAUGGGUUUCUGACAGAUGAAUUGGCCAUUUAUUAAGGAGCUUUUUGUCAAAAUCUAGUUUUAAUACCUUAUCAUGUGAGUUGAUAUUGUGCUAACAUGACUCAUUUCCUGAAUAAACUUGAGUUUCAUCAAAAUACCAGGAACGGACACUGCAGUUGGGUUUUGUUCCAGCAGCAGGAGUACUGGUCAGUGUCUGGCACACAAUGUCUAAUGGAAUUGUCUUGUGCAAUGUGUCAUUUGUUCUUUACCUGAUUAAUACUUACACCAGCAAUUGCUAUUUUUUGACAUAUCAUCUUUAAGGUUGAUCAAGUGUUCAUGUCAUGAAACAGGUGCUUAUCUACACAUCCAGCAGGAAAGUAGCUAAAAUUAUCAUUUAUAAAGAAUCAGGCCUUUGGCCACCUGGCAAAUUUAAAUCCAAUAUUAAAUCUCUUUUAGCACCGAUUUUUGUUUCUACCAACUCCUAAUGGAAAUAUCUGGCUCUUCAGCUGCCAAAUGCUCCAUCACUAACCGUGUAUAUCUGCUGAUUGGUGCUGAGCAGAUAGUGUACAGUGGGAUUGUAGAGCUUUUUCACUGAAAACAACUUCCUGAGCAGCAGAGAAACAGUGAGUCAGAGAGAGUCAGAUAAACCAGGAGGUCCACGGGUGCCCAUUAUUAAGUUUUAAUCCAGGGCCUUAUCAUGUGUCAUUCCAGCCCUGUUUACAGACGUAGUAUUCAGUAAAUGUUUUCCAGUU